CCUACGGGAGGCAGCAGUGAGGAAUAUUGGUCAAUGGACGAGAGUCUGAACCAGCCAAGUAGCGUGAAGGAUGACGGCCCUAUGGGUUGUAAACUGCUUUUAUAUGGGAAUAAAAUGGACCACGUGUGGGAUGUUGUAUGUACCAUAUGAAUAAGGAGCGGCUAACUCCGUGCCAGCAGCCGCGGUAAUACGGAGGAUCCGAGCGUUAUCCGGAUUUAUUGGGUUUAAAGGGAGCGUAGGAGGAUUGUUAAGUCAGUGGUGAAAGUUUGCGGCUCAACCGGAAAAUUGCAGUUUAAACUGGCAGUCUUGAGUACAGUUGCGGUGGGCGGACUUCGUGGUGUAGCGG
RNAcentral lists this ribosomal RNA (346 nucleotides) under uncultured bacterium. RNAcentral describes it as "partial 16S ribosomal RNA". It matches the Rfam family "Bacterial small subunit ribosomal RNA", at positions 338 to 681 of the family's 1533-position model. The record is from RNAcentral.